CAUCAGAUGACUGAAGGCAAGUAAUGGUCUCUUAAACCAUGGUAUAGUAAUCUAGCAAUUACUUCUGAUGA
Molecule: transfer RNA, 71 nt
Filed under: Agnetina aequalis
Lineage: Eukaryota; Metazoa; Arthropoda; Insecta; Plecoptera; Perlidae
Description: tRNA-Lys
Source: RNAcentral